RNAcentral lists this small RNA (225 nucleotides) under Mycobacterium sp. Its description in RNAcentral is "c-di-AMP sequence". It matches the Rfam family "c-di-AMP riboswitch aptamer (ydaO/yuaA leader)". From Rfam's summary of the family: This family represents a conserved RNA structure found upstream of the ydaO and yuaA genes in Bacillus subtilis and related genes in other bacteria. The ydaO/yuaA element is thought to act as a genetic "off" switch for the ydaO and yuaA genes in its native state. Lineage: Bacteria; Bacillati; Actinomycetota; Actinomycetes; Mycobacteriales; Mycobacteriaceae. The record is from RNAcentral.
CCUCCUAUCGCGCCGAGCUCCAUCCGUUGGGCAGGGGAUCCGACCACCAACACGGAUGGAGGCGGGGGACCCAACCGGUCCACCGACAUCGGACCUGGAGCCGCACGCGGCUCCUAGGGGUGAAGCCGACACCGCAUUCCGGAUCACCGGACCGCGACGCCGGCCGGGCAACCUCUCCAGCCCGAACCCGACAGCUGACCUCGCAGGCGCAUGACGAGAGGACUU